GGCAUCUCCAUUCUGCAGCUGCUGCCUCCUUGCAUAUAAACUCCACACGCCCCAGAUUCAAACAGAUCAAUUAUUCAUGGCAGGACUGGGCGACCAAGCGCGCACUCACCAGAGUUGAAAGACAAACCUUGAGGGUGGCGCCAAGGACACACAAAUAUUGUAUGUGUGUACAUCGACAACCACGGACUCCUUCACAGCAGAGCAGCCAAGCCUCCUGUACGACGAGUGCUGCGCUGCCAGCCGCCCCAUCGGGACCAUUAUCUUCACACCUCUCUGCCCUCGGCGCCUCCCCCUCCCCACACCCUUUCGCACUGCCAACCUUCCGUCGCCGUUGGUCGGUCCUCUCGGAGGUUGAACUGGGCCCCAGUCAACCAUGGGGUAACUGUAAUGGCCAAAAGCCCAAGCCCAAACUCAAACACGCCACGUUUGCAAAACUGAUUCAUUCUGUUGAACUUGACAAAUGGCACUUGUGUGUGUGUGUGUGUGUGUGUGUCAUGAAGCACUUGUGUGUGUGUGUGUGUGUGUGUCAUGAAGGGAUUAAAUGUACUUUCUACUGAGCAAGUAAAUUAAAAACAUAAUUAAUAAAAAUACAACAUUCAGAAUUGAAAUAAUCAACCGGGCUACUUCUUUUAAGGGACACAUUAUGCUUUUUUUUCUCUCCCACAAAUUUCUCCCACAGUCUUUCACGUUACACUCCCACAGUCUUUCACGUUACACUCGUUACAAUGGCGACUAUGGAUCGCACCAAUGUAUUGUAUGUGGGGAAAAAAAGAACAAAAUGAGGAAAAACCUGUGGUGGUCAUCAAAGGUGCCCGGGAGAGGAGGUUCUAUCAAGGAUUGCUUGAGGUAUGUUCACAUACUUUUAACACGAUACGGCUCGCAAGCAGGCAACAAAAUGUUAUGUAGCCUGGCAAGGUAGUGCUCGCACUAACGUUUGUACGUAAACAACCCGGCCUUCUGUCGACUCAUGCUCUAAAGUUUCAGUAAACAUUGGUUUGAUCGCGUGAAUAAAUGGUCACAAUACGCAAUCCUAUUGGUCAAGGUGUGCUUUCGGAGAGUUGUCGUUAAUAUGUCACACUACACGGAAGAUAUUGCCAAAAAAUCAAACAUGAAAA
Long non-coding RNA from Phyllopteryx taeniolatus (common seadragon), 1115 nucleotides. RefSeq lists it as uncharacterized. Lineage: Eukaryota; Metazoa; Chordata; Actinopteri; Syngnathiformes; Syngnathidae. The record is from RefSeq and is a predicted model, not a curated record. The transcript is spliced from 3 exons.